GAUGAACGCUGGCGGCGUGCCUAAUACAUGCAAGUCGAGCGAACGGACGAGAAGCUUGCUUCUCUGAUGUUAGCGGCGGACGGGUGAGUAACACGUGGAUAACCUACCUAUAAGACUGGGAUAACUUCGGGAAACCGGAGCUAAUACCGGAUAAUAUUUUGAACCGCAUGGUUCAAAAGUGAAAGACGGUCUUGCUGUCACUUAUAGAUGGAUCCGCGCUGCAUUAGCUAGUUGGUAAGGUAACGGCUUACCAAGGCAACGAUGCAUAGCCGACCUGAGAGGGUGAUCGGCCACCCGGGAACGGAGCCACGGUCCAGACUCCUACGGGAGGCAGCAGUAGGGAAUCUUCCGCAAUGGGCGAAAGCCUGACGGAGCAACGCCGCGUGAGUGAUGAAGGUCUUCGGAUCGUAAAACUCUGUUAUUAGGGAAGAACAUAUGUGUAAGUAACUGUGCACAUCUUGACGGUACCUAAUCAGAAAGCCACGGCUAACUACGUG
RNAcentral lists this ribosomal RNA (497 nucleotides) under uncultured bacterium. RNAcentral describes it as "partial 16S ribosomal RNA". It matches the Rfam family "Bacterial small subunit ribosomal RNA", at positions 28 to 507 of the family's 1533-position model. The record is from RNAcentral.